UCGGGAAUUUUGGGCAAUGGGCGAAAGCCUGACCCAGCAACGCCGCGUGAAGGAUGAAGUAUUUCGGUAUGUAAACUUCGAAAGAAUAGGAAGAAUAAAUGACGGUACUAUUUAUAAGGUCCGGCUAACUACGUGCCAGCAGCCGCGGUAAUACGUAGGGACCAAGCGUUGUUCGGAUUUACUGGGCGUAAAGGGCGCGUAGGCGGCAAUUCAAGUCAUCUGUGAAAUCUCCGGGCUUAACUCGGAACGGUCAGAUGAUACUGCUUUGCUAGAGUGCAGAAGGGGCAAUCGGAAUUCUUGGUGUAGCGGUGAAAUGCAUAGAUAUCGUCAAGAACACCGAUAGCGAAGGCAGCUUACCAAGCUGUAACUGACACUGAGGCACGAAAGUGUGGGGAUCAAACAGGAUUAGAUACCCGGGUAGUCCCUGAGCGGGCUGGCAAGGCGCAU
Molecule: ribosomal RNA, 447 nt
Filed under: uncultured bacterium
Lineage: Bacteria
Description: bacterial SSU rRNA
Rfam family: Bacterial small subunit ribosomal RNA
Source: RNAcentral